Molecule: long non-coding RNA, 652 nt
Organism: Trifolium pratense (red clover)
Lineage: Eukaryota; Viridiplantae; Streptophyta; Magnoliopsida; Fabales; Fabaceae
Exons: 3
Source: RefSeq, a predicted model, not a curated record
ACCCUUAGUCUAUAAAAGGAACCCAAAAUCUCAGGUUUUUUACUUUUUUUUCUUUGACGACGGCAGAACAUCCAUUAGUUCCAAAUAAUAAAAUCUGUUUUAUGCAACUUAAUUCUCGAGUACCACGUUAGGAGUACUAUAUAUAUACCCUCCCUCUAGCGCACCUUCCUCCUUCACAAGGGGCAAGGGGCUUUGAUCUUCAUAUAUGCUUUAGAGGGAAAAUAAGGCUAUGUUUGACUUCAUUAGAGCUGUUCAGAGAUUAUCUGAAUAAUGCCAAAAUCUAUUUAGUUUACUAAAAGGUAUAAUUGUUGUUUUAUGGCUUAAUAUGGUGAGUUCCACUACCAGGGAGUUGUGUUUUCACUUCUUUAGCUUGCUAGUUGAGUUCAAUACUAGUCAUGCUUUGGAUGCAAGCAGGAAGGUAGAUUGGGUGGCUUCUUAAUUAAGCAUAUGUGUGUAUUUUUUUUUAUGUGUGUAUUUUUUUUGGUAAACCAAAAGUAUCAUCCGCUCGCUGCGUGUCAUGUUUUAUGAAUGCGGAGAAACAAAAAAAUAAUUAUAUGUGGAGAACUAUAUGGCUGCAAAGAAUGUGGAUGAUGGGUGUGGAGGACUUAUUCGUGGAAGUUGUGGUGAGUUUGUAGUGCUCGUGUUGCGUAGC